This 270-nucleotide ribosomal RNA is filed under the name uncultured archaeon. RNAcentral describes it as "partial 16S ribosomal RNA". It matches the Rfam family "Archaeal small subunit ribosomal RNA", at positions 477 to 747 of the family's 1478-position model. The record is from RNAcentral.
CAGCACCUCAAGUGGUCAGGAUGAUUAUUAGGCCUAAAGCACCCGUAGCCGGCGCUGUAAGUUUUCGGUUAAAUCUGUACGCUCAACGUACAGGCUGCCGGGAAUACUGCAGCGCUAGGGAGUGGGAGAGGUAGACGGUACUCGGUAGGAAGGGGUAAAAUCCUUUGAUCUAUUGAUGACCACCUGUGGCGAAGGCGGUCUACCAGAACACGUCCGACGGUGAGGGAUGAAAGCUGGGGGAGCAAACCGGAUUAGAGACCCGCGUAGUCC